ACAUUGGUGGUUCAGUGGUAGAAUUCUCUCCUUUCAUGUGGGAGACCUGGGUUCGAUUCCUGGCCAUUGUA
This is a transfer RNA of Loxodonta africana (African savanna elephant), 71 nucleotides long. It matches the Rfam family "tRNA". From Rfam's summary of the family: Transfer RNA (tRNA) molecules are approximately 80 nucleotides in length. Their secondary structure includes four short double-helical elements and three loops (D, anti-codon, and T loops). Lineage: Eukaryota; Metazoa; Chordata; Mammalia; Proboscidea; Elephantidae. The record is from Rfam.